GCAUCGAUGAAGAACGCAGCGAAAUGCGAUACCUAGUGUGAAUUGCAGCCAUCGUGAAUCAUCGAGUUCUUGAACGCACAUUGCGCCCGUCGGCAUUCCGGCGGGCAUGCCUGUCUGAGCGUCGUUUCCUUCUUGCAAGACGAGAGUUGCGCAGAGCUGGCCCGGCCACGGCCCCGCCGAAAAGAAACGAGGCCACGAGCGAACUAGAACAGGACGCUUGGGGUCUCCGAGCACUAUGAGCUCGACCUCAGAUCAGGUAGGAAUACCCGCUGAACUUAAGCAUAUCAAUAAGCGGAGGAG
This 300-nucleotide unclassified non-coding RNA is filed under the name uncultured bacterium. RNAcentral's name for it is "contains 16S-23S intergenic spacer region". The stretch from base 1 to 124 matches the Rfam family "5.8S ribosomal RNA", at positions 30 to 154 of the family's 154-position model. The record is from RNAcentral.